AUUGAACGCUGGCGGCAUGCUUUACACAUGCAAGUCGAGCGGAAACAGGCCGCUUGCUGCUGGCUUCUGCCGAGCGGGGGUGUAAUGCGCCUAGACGUCUCCCGGGUUGGGGGGGAUCGCAUCCGGAACUGGGCUCUUAUACCGCGUACGCUGUGGGGGAGAACGGGGGGGAUCUUCGCACUUUAUGCCAUCGCGUCUUCGUAGCGCCCGGUAUCUGAUUAGUGAGGUGAUGGGGUAAAGACCUACCAAGCCGACGAUCUGUAGCUGGUCUGAGAGGACGACCAGCCACACUGGGACUGAGACACGGCCCAGACUCCUACGGGAGGCAGCAGUGGGGAAUUUUGGACAAUGGGCGCAAGCCUGAUCCAGCAAUGCCGCGUGCGGGAAGAAGGCCUUCGGGUUGUAAACCGCUUUUGUACGGAACGAAAAGGCUCUGGCUAAUACCUGGGGCUGAUGACGGUACCGUAAGAAUAAGCACCGGCUAACUACGU
RNAcentral lists this ribosomal RNA (491 nucleotides) under uncultured bacterium. RNAcentral's name for it is "partial 16S ribosomal RNA". It matches the Rfam family "Bacterial small subunit ribosomal RNA", at positions 30 to 506 of the family's 1533-position model. The record is from RNAcentral.